UCAGUCGUAAACUUUAAUCUAGUCCACUCUCGCCUGGGAACUACGAGCUAAGCUUAAAACCCAAAGGACUUGACGGUACCCCAUAUCCCCCUAGAGGAGCCUGUCCUAUAACCGAUAAUCCCCCGUUUAACCUCACCAUUUCUAGCUAAAACAGCCUGUAUACCUCCGUCGUCAGCUCACCGCGUGAGCGUUAGUGAGCCUAAUGUUAAUUCAACUACACGUCAGGUCAAGGUGCAACAUAUGGUAAUGGGAAGAGAUGGGCUACACUCUCUAACUUAGAAUAUACGAAAGACUACUUAUGAAAUCUAG
This 309-nucleotide ribosomal RNA is filed under the name Oophaga arborea (polkadot poison frog). RNAcentral's name for it is "partial 12S ribosomal RNA". It matches the Rfam family "Bacterial small subunit ribosomal RNA", at positions 796 to 1276 of the family's 1533-position model. Lineage: Eukaryota; Metazoa; Chordata; Amphibia; Anura; Dendrobatidae. The record is from RNAcentral.